CCUACGGGAGGCAGCAGUGAGGAAUAUUGGUCAAUGGGCGGAAGCCUGAACCAGCCAAGUAGCGUGCAGGAUGACGGCCCUACGGGUUGUAAACUGCUUUUAUACGGGAAUAACGCGCCUUACGUGUAGGGCUUUGCAUGUACCGUAUGAAUAAGGACCGGCUAAUUCCGUACCAGAAGCCGAGGUAAUACGGAGGGUCCGGGCGUUAUCCGGAUUUAUUGGGUUUAAAGGGAACGUAGGCCGGAUGUCAAGCGUUCGGUGAAAUUUCGGGGAUCAACCCGGGCCGUGGAGCGCGAACUGGCAUGCUUGAGUCCGCGGAAAGCAGGCGGAAUUCGUCGUGUAGCGGUGAAGGCUUAGAUAUGACGAAGAACCCCGAUUGCGAAGGCAGCUUGCUGCAGCGGAACUGAAGCUGAUGCUCGAAAGCGAGGGUAUCGAACAGGAGUAGAUACCCCUGUAGUC
RNAcentral lists this ribosomal RNA (459 nucleotides) under uncultured bacterium. RNAcentral describes it as "partial 16S ribosomal RNA". It matches the Rfam family "Bacterial small subunit ribosomal RNA", at positions 338 to 795 of the family's 1533-position model. The record is from RNAcentral.